This is a non-coding RNA of Armillaria novae-zelandiae, 79 nucleotides long. Lineage: Eukaryota; Fungi; Basidiomycota; Agaricomycetes; Agaricales; Physalacriaceae. The record is from the annotation of a GenBank genome assembly.
GGCCUUAUGGUCUAGUCGCAUGAUUCCUCGUUUGGGUGAAAAUUCGAGGAGGUCCUGGGUUCAAUUCCCAGUGAGGCCC